Small nucleolar RNA from Ornithorhynchus anatinus (platypus), 138 nucleotides. NCBI's taxonomy places the organism in Eukaryota, Metazoa, Chordata, Mammalia, Monotremata, Ornithorhynchidae. The record is from RefSeq and is a predicted model, not a curated record.
AUCCUCUCGGGAUCACACCUGGAGAGUUUCCAGUACUCUAUCAAUCUCAGCUAUGGGAGGGAAAGUCAAGCAGAGGCCUACCCAUUCUAUUCCUAGCUUGGGCAGUGGCUAGCGAGUGGAAGGCAAUCCGCUACAAGU